GGCUGAGGCCACGUGGAUGGCAGAGCACAAUGCAGGAGGGCUCCGUGUGCUGGGAGAGCCCGCAGUGCCUUUUGGGGUGCAGCUCACACACGCUUUCCUAUCCGAGCACAUAAAUCCGGGGGGAGAUGUUAUGCUGGUGGUAAGUGGAAGGGGUUGGGGCAGAAGGCAGCCGGAUCCAGGAGCUCUGAGCAACACGUGUGAGCCCGGGUGCUCCUCCUUCCCCAAACAAACGGGUUGAGCUCUGUUUGAGGUACACACACGAGCAGAUGUUGGCAAACCUCCCAUCUGUGACCCUACAGGAAGAGUCUGACGGAGCGCAGGGCUCGCCUUUGUUUUCCUCUUUCUUUGUUUCCCUGGCUGAAGGAGCCCAAGGUCCAUACCCAGCGGGCAGUCAGCACGGAGUACAGAGGGAACCCAAGAGCAGAGCAGGCUUUGCAGAAGGACUCCGUGCUCCAUCCCUGUAAGCUGUGCUCAGAUGACAUCUUGAGUGCCACCUCAAGGUCUGCUGUGCCAGGAAUCCCUGAACUUCAACUCCCAGCUUUCACCCCCCUUCCCCAUCUCCUGUACCUUGAGCAGUAAAUGCUAUUCAAGGGGUUGUGAAAUAAAAACGCUGUUCCCC
RNAcentral lists this long non-coding RNA (619 nucleotides) under Gallus gallus (chicken). Its description in RNAcentral is "long non-coding RNA NONGGAT005405". Lineage: Eukaryota; Metazoa; Chordata; Aves; Galliformes; Phasianidae. The record is from RNAcentral.